AACGAACGCUGGCGGCAUGCCUAACACAUGCAAGUCGAACGAGACCUUCGGGUCUAGUGGCGCACGGGUGCGUAACGCGUGGGAACCUGCCUUUAGGUUCGGAAUAACUCAGAGAAAUUUGAGCUAAUACCGGAUAAUGUCUUCGGACCAAAGAUUUAUCGCCUUUAGAUGGGCCCGCGUUGGAUUAGCUAGUUGGUGGGUAAAGGCCUACCAAGGCGACGAUCCAUAGCUGGUCUGAGAGGAUGAUCAGCCACACUGGGACUGAGACACGGCCCAGACUCCUACGGGAGGCAGCAGUGGGGAAUAUUGGACAAUGGGCGAAAGCCUGAUCCAGCAAUGCCGCGUGAGUGAUGAAGGCCUUAGGGUUGUAAAGCUCUUUUACCCGAGAUGAUAAUGACAGUAUCGGGAGAAUAAGCUCCGGCUAACUCCGUGCCAGCAGCCGCGGUAAAGUGACUACUG
This 459-nucleotide ribosomal RNA is filed under the name uncultured bacterium. RNAcentral describes it as "bacterial SSU rRNA". It matches the Rfam family "Bacterial small subunit ribosomal RNA", at positions 29 to 534 of the family's 1533-position model. The record is from RNAcentral.